CAUCAAUGCUCUUUGCCCAAGCCGUCUUCACAUCGAUAAAAGGUAACACUACCGUCUUUGGACAUACGUAAAGCAUAAUACAAACACCUUAAUCAUGAAAGAGUAGUGUGUGCACACACAAAUCACACCAGAAAACAUGAUUGCAAGCUCAUAUCUCAACAAUGAUUUUCCCGGUAGCAUGACCAUCAAUGCUUUUUGCCCAAG
Molecule: unclassified non-coding RNA, 204 nt
Filed under: Hevea brasiliensis (rubber tree)
Lineage: Eukaryota; Viridiplantae; Streptophyta; Magnoliopsida; Malpighiales; Euphorbiaceae
Source: RNAcentral